This 275-nucleotide long non-coding RNA is filed under the name Manihot esculenta (cassava). RNAcentral describes it as "long non-coding RNA (MESC_LNC013037)". Lineage: Eukaryota; Viridiplantae; Streptophyta; Magnoliopsida; Malpighiales; Euphorbiaceae. The record is from RNAcentral.
UGCAGAUGAGUCAAGGGAGACGUGGCCUAACCUCUGGUCAUGAUCUGGAGGUGAACACCUGGCCAAACCACGGACUGAGGAGCGUGCACAACUAACCGACCACCUCAGCUUCGGCUGCCGAAACUGCAUGCAAAACCAUGCAACUUUCGGGGGCCGAACUUAACCUUCGGGGGCCGAAUAUUGGGCACUUUCGGCGGCCGAACUUAACCUUCGGGGGCCGAACAUUACAGAAACUCCUUUGGCCAAUUCUCCACGAAACUCAACUCGUUUUCUAC